GCACUCGUAGCUCAACUGGAUAGAGUACCUGGCUACGAACCAGGCGGUUGGAGGUUCGAGUCCUCCCGAGUGCGCCA
This 77-nucleotide transfer RNA is filed under the name Pseudidiomarina taiwanensis. RNAcentral describes it as "Idiomarina taiwanensis tRNA-Arg". It matches the Rfam family "tRNA". Rfam says of the family: Transfer RNA (tRNA) molecules are approximately 80 nucleotides in length. Their secondary structure includes four short double-helical elements and three loops (D, anti-codon, and T loops). Lineage: Bacteria; Pseudomonadati; Pseudomonadota; Gammaproteobacteria; Alteromonadales; Idiomarinaceae. RNAcentral also lists the same sequence under 3 other names. The record is from RNAcentral.